GCACUUGGAGCCCAGGGCAGGGUUCACAGAGCUAUUUUCAGUUCUCUUGCAGGAUCUCCUUCCCAGCCUUCAGAAAUUGCCGGUCUGGGAGUUGGGGGCAAGGAGAAGAUCCUGCAACCCAGUGAUUCCAUGGAAAGCAGAAAGAAGGACAUAAAGAAACGGAUACUUGGUGACAUCUUUGACUCACUGGAUCAAACCUUGCCUGAAGCUCACAUUUCUGAAAUUUCCAGAUACAAGAACAAAUACUUCCUCUUUAUUGUUUUACUAGAUUUGAGACAAGCUUUAAGUUUCUCAGACUCUUCCUCUUCCUAACAGAUUUAUCAGAAGCUGAAAGCUCUGAUCUUGUUGGGAUGCGGAUCGUGUCAGGAGAAGGCUUACUUUGCACGCUUUUCUUAGUCUGGUUGCCUAACUCAAGAACCUCGGCAUGGCUCUGUUACUUCUCUACUCAGACAAGCAUCCCUGCAGACACUCACUAGGCUAACUCUGUCUUUAUUUUUAGAAUUAGACCUUUACGAGAAGCACAGUUUUGUCUUCAGUUUCCUCUCCCCCCACCCGGAAUGGCCUGAGCCGAAGCCAGCUCCCUCCGAGAAGUCAUUACCGCCUGACUUGCGUUUGAUAUUUAGACACCUUGGUCACAACAUCUUGCAUUCUCUCGGGAUGCUGAUUUCUAACUGCUCUUUGGCCUUUCCUGCAUUGGUCCUCCUCAGGCAGGGGAUCCCUGCUCUUCUAUAUUAGUGAGAAAACCAAGGCUCAGAGAAACUGUGGAUUUUCUAAGGAUGCUGGCUCCCCGUCCCCUGUCCACCAUGAGUCAAAGCAAUGUGAGUCCCUCACCAGAUGCAACUGCCCAGUCUUGGACUUUCCAGUGACCAGAAUCAUGAGCCAAAUAAACCUCUUUUCUUUAUG
RNAcentral lists this long non-coding RNA (903 nucleotides) under Homo sapiens (human). RNAcentral's name for it is "SMAD3 divergent transcript". The record is from RNAcentral. Lineage: Eukaryota; Metazoa; Chordata; Mammalia; Primates; Hominidae.